UUGACCUCAAAUCAGGUAGGACUACCCGCUGAACUUAAGCAUAUCAAUAAGCGGAGGAAAAGAAACUAACAAGGAUUCCCCUAGUAACUGCGAGUGAAGCGGGAAAAGCUCAAAUUUAAAAUCUGAGGGUCCUUGUGGCCUUCCGAGUUGUAAUCUAGAGAAGUGCUAUCCGCGCUGGACCGUGUACAAGUCUCCUGGAACGGAGCGUCAUAGAGGGUGAGAAUCCCGUCUUUGACACGGACUACCAGGGCUUUGUGAUGCGCUCUCAAAGAGUCGAGUUGUUUGGGAAUGCAGCUCUAAAUGGGUGGUAAAUUCCAUCUAAAGCUAAAUAUUGGCGAGAGACCGAUAGCGAACAAGUACCGUGAGGGAAAGAUGAAAAGAACUUUGGAAAGAGAGUUAAACAGUACGUGAAAUUGUUGAAAGGGAAACGCUUGAAGUCAGUCGCGUUGGCCAGGAAUCAACCUUGCUUUUGCUUGGCGUACUUUCUGGUUAACGGGUCAGCAUCAAUUUUGACYGRUGGAUAAAGGUUAGGGGAAUGUGGCAUCCUCGGAUGUGUUAUAGCCUCUGGUCGCAUACAUCGGUUGGGAUUGAGGAACUCAGCACGCCGCAAGGCCGGGUU
RNAcentral lists this ribosomal RNA (619 nucleotides) under Tricholoma fulvum. RNAcentral's name for it is "eukaryotic LSU rRNA". It matches the Rfam family "Eukaryotic large subunit ribosomal RNA", at positions 1 to 617 of the family's 3401-position model. The record is from RNAcentral. Lineage: Eukaryota; Fungi; Basidiomycota; Agaricomycetes; Agaricales; Tricholomataceae.